RNAcentral lists this transfer RNA (51 nucleotides) under Drosophila guanche. RNAcentral describes it as "trnS2(tga)". The record is from RNAcentral. Lineage: Eukaryota; Metazoa; Arthropoda; Insecta; Diptera; Drosophilidae.
GCUUGAAUAAGCGUAUGUUUUGAAAACAUAAGAUAGAAUUAAUAAAAUUUU